This 839-nucleotide ribosomal RNA is filed under the name Pseudomonas plecoglossicida. RNAcentral describes it as "bacterial SSU rRNA". It matches the Rfam family "Bacterial small subunit ribosomal RNA", at positions 37 to 873 of the family's 1533-position model. The record is from RNAcentral. Lineage: Bacteria; Pseudomonadati; Pseudomonadota; Gammaproteobacteria; Pseudomonadales; Pseudomonadaceae.
UUAGGUCGCGACUACCAUGCAAGUCGAGCGGAUGACGGGAGCUUGCUCCUUGAUUCAGCGGCGGACGGGUGAGUAAUGCCUAGGAAUCUGCCUGGUAGUGGGGGACAACGUUUCGAAAGGAACGCUAAUACCGCAUACGUCCUACGGGAGAAAGCAGGGGACCUUCGGGCCUUGCGCUAUCAGAUGAGCCUAGGUCGGAUUAGCUAGUUGGUGGGGUAAUGGCUCACCAAGGCGACGAUCCGUAACUGGUCUGAGAGGAUGAUCAGUCACACUGGAACUGAGACACGGCCCAGACUCCUACGGGAGGCAGCCCUGGGGAAUAUUGGACAAUGGGCGAAAGCCUGAUCCAGCCAUGCCGCGUGUGUGAAGAAGGUCUUCGGAUUGUAAAGCACUUUAAGUUGGGAGGAAGGGCAGUAAGCUAAUACCUUGCUGUUUUGACGUUACCGACAGAAUAAGCACCGGCUAACUCUGUGCCAGCAGCCGCCGUAAUACAGAGGGUGCAAGCGUUAAUCGGAAUUACUGGGCGUAAAGCGCGCGUACGUGGUUCGUUAAGUCGGAUGUGAAAGCCCCGGGCUCAACCUGGGAACUGCAUCCCAAACUGGCGAGCUAGAGUACGGUAGAGGGUGGUGGAAUUUCCUGUGUAGCGGCGAAAUGCGUAGAUAUAGGAAGGAACACCAGUGGCGAAGGCGACCACCUGGACUGAUACUGACACUGAGGUGCCGCAAGCGUGGGGAGCCAACCGGAUUAGAUCCCCUGGUUGUCCCCCCCCCCUAAACCAUGCUCACUAUCCCGUGGCAAUCCUUGAGACUUCUAGCGGGCGCCCCUAACCCACUUACAUU